CCUGGCUCAGAUUGAACGCUGGCGGCAUGCUUUACACAUGCAAGUCGAACGGCAGCGGGGCUUCGGCCUGCCGGCGAGUGGCGAACGGGUGAGUAAUGCAUCGGAACGUGCCCAUGUCGUGGGGGAUAACGUAGCGAAAGCUACGCUAAUACCGCAUACGCCCUGAGGGGGAAAGCGGGGGAUUCUUCGGAACCUCGCGCGAUUGGAGCGGCCGAUGUCGGAUUAGCUAGUAGGUGAGGUAAAGGCUCACCUAGGCGACGAUCCGUAGCGGGGUCUGAGAGGAUGAUCCGCCACACUGGGACUGAGACACGGCCCAGACUCCUACGGGAGGCAGCAGUGGGGAAUUUUGGACAAUGGGCGCAAGCCUGAUCCAGCCAUGCCGCGUGAGUGAAGAAGGCCUC
This 401-nucleotide ribosomal RNA is filed under the name uncultured bacterium. RNAcentral's name for it is "bacterial SSU rRNA". It matches the Rfam family "Bacterial small subunit ribosomal RNA", at positions 18 to 418 of the family's 1533-position model. The record is from RNAcentral.